RNAcentral lists this ribosomal RNA (478 nucleotides) under uncultured bacterium. Its description in RNAcentral is "bacterial SSU rRNA". It matches the Rfam family "Bacterial small subunit ribosomal RNA", at positions 501 to 981 of the family's 1533-position model. The record is from RNAcentral.
CUACGUGCCAGCAGCCGCGGUAAUACGGAAGGUCCCGGCGUUAUCCGGAUUUAUUGGGUUUAAAGGGAGCGUAGGCCGUGGAUUAAGCGUGUUGUGAAAUGUAGACGCUCAACGUCUGACUUGCAGCGCGAACUGGUUCACUUGAGUGUGCGCAACGCAGGCGGAAUUCGUGGUGUAGCGGUGAAAUGCUUAGAUAUCACGAAGAACUCCGAUUGCGAAGGCAGCUUGCGGGAGCACAACUGACGCUGAAGCUCGAAAGUGCGGGUAUCAAACAGGAUUAGAUACCCUGGUAGUCCACGCAGUAAACGAUGAAUACUAGAUUUUUGCGAUAUAGUGUAAGAGUCUAAGCGAAAGCGAUAAGUAUUCCACCUGGGGAGUACGCCGGCAACGGUGAAACUCAAAGGAAUUGACGGGGGCCCGCACAAGCGGAGGAACAUGUGGUUUAAUUCGAUGAUACGCGAGGAACCUUACCCGGGAU